This 109-nucleotide ribosomal RNA is filed under the name Streptococcus suis. RNAcentral's name for it is "partial 23S ribosomal RNA". It matches the Rfam family "Bacterial large subunit ribosomal RNA", at positions 1 to 109 of the family's 2925-position model. Lineage: Bacteria; Bacillati; Bacillota; Bacilli; Lactobacillales; Streptococcaceae. The record is from RNAcentral.
GGUUAAGUUAAUAAGGGCGCACGGUGGAUGCCUUGGCACUAGAAGCCGAUGAAGGACGUGACUAACGACGAAAUGCCUUGGGGAGCUGUAAGUAAGCAAUGAUCCAGGG